RNAcentral lists this small RNA (119 nucleotides) under Streptomyces sp. CB03234. RNAcentral's name for it is "Streptomyces-metH RNA". It matches the Rfam family "Streptomyces-metH RNA". The record is from Rfam by way of RNAcentral. Lineage: Bacteria; Bacillati; Actinomycetota; Actinomycetes; Kitasatosporales; Streptomycetaceae.
CCGUCCAACCUCUGGAACAAAAUGUCCACCCCGGCGGGUACGCGGUUACUCUGGCCCGGUGCACCUUCCCCUGAAGGUGCAAAGCCGACAGCCGUCGCACUCCAGGGAGCACUUCCAUG